AACGAACGCUGGCGGCAGGCCUAACACAUGCAAGUCGAGCGGACCCUCCGGGGUUAGCGGCGGAUGGGUGUGUAACGCGUGGGAAUAUGCCCUUCUCUACGGAAUAGCUCUGGGACACUGGGGGUUAUACCGUACACGCCCUUUGGCGGAAAGAUUUAUCGGGGAAGGAUUAGCCCGCGUUGGAUUAGGUAGUUGGUAGGGUAAUGGCCUACCAAGCCGAGGAUUCAUAGCUGGUUUGAGAGGAUGAUCAGCGACACUUGGACUGGGACGCGGCCCGGACUCCUACGGGAGGCAGCAGUGGGGGAUGUUGCACAGUGGCGGCAGCCAUGAACUAGCCCUGACGGGAAAAUGAUGUAAGCAUUGAGGUAGUAAUGCGCAAGUAACUAGGAAGGUAUUGACGGUACCUGAAGAGAAAGCCCCGGCUAACUACGUG
RNAcentral lists this ribosomal RNA (433 nucleotides) under uncultured bacterium. RNAcentral's name for it is "partial 16S ribosomal RNA". It matches the Rfam family "Bacterial small subunit ribosomal RNA", at positions 29 to 507 of the family's 1533-position model. The record is from RNAcentral.